CGGUCCAUGAAGCCCCUGGGAGGAGAACCGAGCGAUCUUUUUGGAAGUCCAGAAGAAGGUAUUUCUUCAAGCAUGCCUAAUAGGAUGGCAUCUGUUAUUUUCGGACCAACUGAAGAACCUAAAAACAUACCCAGGAGGACAAAUUCUUUAGGAGGAAAAGGAAGUGGGAUCUUCGUUGAAUCAAAUCCUGUGCAAACUCGACAACGUUUGAAUCCACCCGGUGGGAAGACCAGUAACAUAUUUGGGUCCCCAGUCACUGCCACUGUGCCUCUGGCACACCCAAACAAGCCCAAGGAUCAUGUUUGGCUGUGUGAAGGUGAAGACUCUAAGUCUGACCUGAAAGCUGCAACAGACUCCACACCCAGAGGAGAGCCGGGCGACAAAGGAAGCUCAAAAGAAGUAGAGCAUGCAAAGAUACCAGAGCCCACACCUACAGUUGACACUCAUGAGCCCAGACUGGGGCUACGACCUCGCUCCCACAACAAAGUCCUGAACCCACCAGGAGGCAAAUCCAGCCUCUCCUUCUAUUGA
RNAcentral lists this long non-coding RNA (531 nucleotides) under Mus musculus (house mouse). Its description in RNAcentral is "long non-coding RNA chr11:48595278-48595809". The record is from RNAcentral. Lineage: Eukaryota; Metazoa; Chordata; Mammalia; Rodentia; Muridae.